UUCCUAUCAAGGUCUAAAAUAUCAAUGAUAUCGGAAAUAUCGAUACUCCAAAAACACGGAAAUUUCGAUGGAAAUAUCGGGAUAAUAUCGAUAUUUUAGACCUUGCAUACCACAUAGACAUCAUACAACGAAUCAUCUAAUGCAUUGAGAAUAUAAUUUAUGCAGAGGAAAUCAUUAUGAUUCCAAGCAUCUAUAGCCCUCAAAGUUUAUGCAGGAAUAUCAUCUCCUUCUGCACUAGGCACAGUCUCAUGCAUGACAUUAGCUAGAUUCGAAGUUGUCAAAUAAAACAGUAUUUUCUGCUGCCAUCUUUUGAAGUUUCC
Molecule: long non-coding RNA, 320 nt
Filed under: Malus domestica (apple)
Lineage: Eukaryota; Viridiplantae; Streptophyta; Magnoliopsida; Rosales; Rosaceae
Description: long non-coding RNA (MDOM_LNC003144)
Source: RNAcentral